CAUGAAGAGACAGUCUUUUUCCCUUCCCCUUGCCUGAGGGGAUCUUGACAUAUUUUGCUAAUAGAAUGUGGCCAAAGGAAUGCUGUGUAAUAUUCUUAGAACCGUGAGAGAAGCUCAAUCACCAUAGAGGGGUUUUCCAGUCAGCAGGCCUGGUUGAUCUUUCAGCAAAAUUUAUCUUUCUUAACUUCAUAAAUAGCAAGUGAAGAUUUGGGGUAACCUUUGUGCCAUGUGGAAAAACCCUAUUGGAGUCACUUCUACCCUUUGACUCGAAAUAAAAGUCGUGGCAUUUGAUCACAGGUACCCACCUUUCAAACCUGAUUGGUCCAUUUUCCAAACCACAUGUUUCCAAGACUUGAUUGGUGCUGGGCACAAACUUGGACCUAGUUGGUGCAAGUAGAAGCUUGGACCUGUUCCAUUUUCAAAACCAGGUUUUUCUGAAGGUCACACUGAAG
Talpa occidentalis (Iberian mole) is the source of this 452-nucleotide long non-coding RNA. RefSeq lists it as uncharacterized. The record is from RefSeq and is a predicted model, not a curated record. Lineage: Eukaryota; Metazoa; Chordata; Mammalia; Eulipotyphla; Talpidae. The transcript is spliced from 4 exons.